RNAcentral lists this ribosomal RNA (1535 nucleotides) under Salmonella enterica subsp. enterica serovar Typhimurium. RNAcentral's name for it is "partial 23S ribosomal RNA". It matches the Rfam family "Bacterial large subunit ribosomal RNA", at positions 137 to 1629 of the family's 2925-position model. The record is from RNAcentral. Lineage: Bacteria; Pseudomonadati; Pseudomonadota; Gammaproteobacteria; Enterobacterales; Enterobacteriaceae.
GAUUCGUCACACUAUCAUUAACUGAAUCCAUAGGUUAAUGAGGCGAACCGGGGGAACUGAAACAUCUAAGUACCCCGAGGAAAAGAAAUCAACCGAGAUUCCCCCAGUAGCGGCGAGCGAACGGGGAGGAGCCCAGAGCCUGAAUCAGCAUGUGUGUUAGUGGAAGCGUCUGGAAAGGCGCGCGAUACAGGGUGACAGCCCCGUACACAAAAGCGCAUGUGCUGUGAGCUCGAUGAGUAGGGCGGGACACGUGGUAUCCUGUCUGAAUAUGGGGGGACCAUCCUCCAAGGCUAAAUACUCCUGACUGACCGAUAGUGAACCAGUACCGUGAGGGAAAGGCGAAAAGAACCCCGGCGAGGGGAGUGAAAAAGAACCUGAAACCGUGUACGUACAAGCAGUGGGAGCACCCUUCGGGGUGUGACUGCGUACCUUUUGUAUAAUGGGUCAGCGACUUAUAUUCUGUAGCAAGGUUAACCGUAUAGGGGAGCCGGAGGGAAACCGAGUCUUAACCGGGCGUUAAGUUGCAGGGUAUAGACCCGAAACCCGGUGAUCUAGCCAUGGGCAGGUUGAAGGUUGGGUAACACUAACUGGAGGACCGAACCGACUAAUGUUGAAAAAUUAGCGGAUGACCUGUGGCUGGGGGUGAAAGGCCAAUCAAACCGGGAGAUAGCUGGUUCUCCCCGAAAGCUAUUUAGGUAGCGCCUCGUGAAUUCAUCUCCGGGGGUAGAGCACUGUUUCGGCUAGGGGGCCAUCCCGGCUUACCAACCCGAUGCAAACUGCGAAUACCGGAGAAUGUUAUCACGGGAGACACACGGCGGGUGCUAACGUCCGUCGUGAAGAGGGAAACAACCCAGACCGCCAGCUAAGGUCCCAAAGUCAUGGUUAAGUGGGAAACGAUGUGGGAAGGCCCAGACAGCCAGGAUGUUGGCUUAGAAGCAGCCAUCAUUUAAAGAAAGCGUAAUAGCUCACUGGUCGAGUCGGCCUGCGCGGAAGAUGUAACGGGGCUAAACCAUGCACCGAAGCUGCGGCAGCGAACGUAUCACCCAAGACAACUUUACGGAGUUGACGAUUGACGGAGCGAAGCGACGUCAAAGCGUUCAUUAAAGUCGAGUUGGCUUAGGGAUACGUUCGUUGGGUAGGGGAGCGUUCUGUAAGCCUGUGAAGGUGUGUCGUGAGGCAUGCUGGAGGUAUCAGAAGUGCGAAUGCUGACAUAAGUAACGAUAAAGCGGGUGAAAAGCCCGCUCGCCGGAAGACCAAGGGUUCCUGUCCAACGUUAAUCGGGGCAGGGUGAGUCGACCCCUAAGGCGAGGCCGAAAGGCGUAGUCGAUGGGAAACGGGUUAAUAUUCCCGUACUUGGUGUUACUGCGAAGGGGGGACGGAGAAGGCUAUGUUGGCCGGGCGACGGUUGUCCCGGUUUAAGCGUGUAGGUGUGUGUUCCAGGUAAAUCCGGUUCACUUUAACACUGAGGCGUGACGACGAGGCACUACGGUGCUGAAGCAACAAAUGCCCUGCUUCCAGGAAAAGCCUCUAAGCAU